UCCGGUCCCGGGGUGCGGGUCCGCUCGCCCCUUGCCAGCCUUGCCCAGAGCCGGGAACACCGAGUCCUCAGGCCACGGCGGCGGUUAGGAAGGCAAUUUCCCAGGGAGCUCACCACUAGGAAGGAAAGCAAACUGGCAGACAAACUCCUCCCAUGAUGGAAUAAGAGCCAUUGAAGAGAAAUGCACAAAGGACUCUGCAAACAGAGAGGAAGAACUGAUGUCAGAUUCAGAGGAAUUCCAAGACAAGACAAUGGGAGCUGAAAGUGGGUUGGAAGCAUGAGGCUUCUAGUUAAUAUUCCCUGUCCUGGAAGUCUCUUCAUCAAUGGACCCCAGCCAGUACUUACCAAAUUUGAUACUAAACAAGAUGCUAUGCAGUAGACCACCUAUCCUUCUUUGUUGGUUUAAUAAUGGUUUUCUUUAAUGUUAGCACAGUUUAAAAUUUUUUUGCUCAUCUAUACAGUAUUAAUCCAUUUCCUAUUGCCAAUAACACAUUUCCCUAGACUGGGUAAGUUUUAAUUAAAAGAAUUUAUUUUGGCU
Chinchilla lanigera (long-tailed chinchilla) is the source of this 537-nucleotide long non-coding RNA. RefSeq lists it as uncharacterized. The record is from RefSeq and is a predicted model, not a curated record. The transcript is spliced from 2 exons. NCBI's taxonomy places the organism in Eukaryota, Metazoa, Chordata, Mammalia, Rodentia, Chinchillidae.